CUAUGUUGCUAUCCCCUCUCUCACCUUUCUCGACAACUGGAGACCAGUAAGACGAGAUGCACCAAGGAUCCACUUCGACGGACAACUAACGCUGAAGACACUUACUAUAACAGGCUUAACCAGACGGGACCCAUAGAAGUUAUGCUUUCCCUAAAGAUUUGAAAUCCUCCCUAGAACAAUCUAAACCUCACAAGCUUCCUAGCUCAAACUUCUUGUGACGUGUCUAAUACACGGAUUUAGCAGAGCACCCAUU
Molecule: long non-coding RNA, 253 nt
Filed under: Hordeum vulgare
Lineage: Eukaryota; Viridiplantae; Streptophyta; Magnoliopsida; Poales; Poaceae
Description: long non-coding RNA (HVUL_LNC000884)
Source: RNAcentral